UACAGAGGUCCCAAGCGUUGUUCGGAUUCACUGGGCGUAAAGGGCGCGUAGGCGGCCUUCUAAGUCGAACGUGAAAUCCCCGGGCUCAACCCGGGAACUGCGUCCGAUACUGGAAGGCUUGAAUCCGGGAGAGGGAUGCGGAAUUCCAGGUGUAGCGGUGAAAUGCGUAGAUAUCUGGAGGAACACCGGUGGCGAAGGCGGCAUCCUGGACCGGCAUUGACGCUGAGGCGCGAAAGCCAGGGGAGCAAACGGG
This 253-nucleotide ribosomal RNA is filed under the name uncultured bacterium. RNAcentral describes it as "partial 16S ribosomal RNA". It matches the Rfam family "Bacterial small subunit ribosomal RNA", at positions 524 to 776 of the family's 1533-position model. The record is from RNAcentral.